RNAcentral lists this long non-coding RNA (272 nucleotides) under Arachis ipaensis. RNAcentral describes it as "long non-coding RNA (AIPA_LNC001249)". Lineage: Eukaryota; Viridiplantae; Streptophyta; Magnoliopsida; Fabales; Fabaceae. The record is from RNAcentral.
UGAUGAAGUGCUCGAUGCUGCGGAGAAUGGAGUUGUGGUAAUUUUGUUAGUGGCCUAAAGAGGCAAAAAUGGUUGAAGCAAACAUGGAUAACUUGUUAUUAUGCAUAUUUAUUGCAUAAUAUGAAUUAAUUUAUUUGUGGUUUUUGUGAACCUACAUGAGCAAACAAUUAAUUUAUUUACAAUUUGAUUGCCCUCUCCUAACUAGUAUACUUAUCAAACAGGACAAGAAAAACAGAUUUUAUAUCGUUUCUGCUUUAGCUGAUACCAAGGUA